GUGGGGAAUUUUGCGCAAUGGGCGAAAGCCUGACGCAGCGACGCCGCGUGGAGGAUGAAGGCCUUCGGGUCGUAAACUCCUGUCGGGGGGGAAGAAAGCCUUAACGGGCCUGACUGUACCCUCUGAGGAAGCCACGGCUAACUCCGUGCCAGCAGCCGCGGUAAUACGGAGGUGGCAAGCGUUGUUCGGAAUUACUGGGCGUAAAGGGCGCGUAGGCGGCUUUGCAAGUCAGAUGUGAAAGCCCCGGGCUUAACCCGGGAAUUGCAUCUGAAACUGCUUUGCUUGAGUCCUGGAGGGGGUAGUGGAAUUCCCAGUGUAGCGGUGAAAUGCGUAGAUAUUGGGAGGAACACCUGUGGCGAAGGCGGCUACCUGGACAGUGACUGACGCUGAUGCGCGAAAGCUAGGGGAGCGAACGGGAUUAGAAACCCCAGUAGUCC
RNAcentral lists this ribosomal RNA (437 nucleotides) under uncultured bacterium. Its description in RNAcentral is "bacterial SSU rRNA". It matches the Rfam family "Bacterial small subunit ribosomal RNA", at positions 354 to 796 of the family's 1533-position model. The record is from RNAcentral.